CUACGGGCCGCUGCAGUGGGGAAUCUUAGACAAUGGGCGCAAGCCUGAUCUAGCCAUGCCGCGUGAGUGAUGAAGGCCUUAGGGUCGUAAAGCUCUUUCGCUGGGGAAGAUAAUGACGGUACCCAGUAAAGAAACCCCGGCUAACUCCGUGCCAGCAGCCGCGGUGAAUACGGAGGGGAUUAGCGUUGUUCGGAAUUACUGGGCGUAAAGCGCGCGUAGGCGGACUGUUAAGUCGGGGGUGAAAUCCCGGGGCUCAACCCCGGAACGGCCUUCGCUACUGGCAGUCUGGAGUUCGAGAGAGGUGAGUGGAAUUCCGAGUGUAGAGGUGAAAUUCGUAGAUAUUCGGAGGAACACCAGUGGCGAAGGCGGCUCACUGGCUCGAUACUGACGCUGAGGUGCGAAAGUGUGGGGAGCAAACAGGAUUAGAUACCCUCGUAGUC
This 440-nucleotide ribosomal RNA is filed under the name uncultured bacterium. RNAcentral's name for it is "partial 16S ribosomal RNA". It matches the Rfam family "Bacterial small subunit ribosomal RNA", at positions 339 to 795 of the family's 1533-position model. The record is from RNAcentral.